UACGUAGGGUGCGAGCGUUGUCCGGACUUAUUGGGCGUAAAGAGCUCGUAGGCGGUCUGUCGCGUCGGAUGUGAAAACUCGGGGCUCAACCCCGAGCCUGCAUUCGAUACGGGCAGACUAGAGUUCGGUAGGGGAGACUGGAAUUCCUGGUGUAGCGGUGAAAUGCGCAGAUAUCAGGAGGAACACCGGUGGCGAAGGCGGGUCUCUGGGCCGAUACUGACGCUGAGGAGCGAAAGCGUGGGGAGCGAACAGG
This 253-nucleotide ribosomal RNA is filed under the name uncultured bacterium. RNAcentral describes it as "partial 16S ribosomal RNA". It matches the Rfam family "Bacterial small subunit ribosomal RNA", at positions 524 to 776 of the family's 1533-position model. The record is from RNAcentral.